UUUUAAUCUGUUUUACUCUGAAAUUAUUGUGUAUUAAGUACUUUGUUGUUCUUGCUGUUGUUUAGACUUUGCUAUUGAUGCAUAUGAAAAAAUCCACUUGUUACCUACUUUACUUGGAUGAAUUGCUAUCUGACGUUAACAGGAAAUGUAGGCAGAGUCCUGUAGGAUUCAUCUUUUGCAGCACUGUUGACAUUAUCAAGGAGAAUGAAUUCUGAUGGGGAAGUGCCUAGGAACGGGGAUCAGUUUAACCUCUACCACACAUAGGAAGGGAGUAAUCUGGUGGAUGUCCUAGAAAUGUCAUUGACAUGGUUAGUAAGAUCUUUCUCUUUGCAGUUUCCUGCUAUUUCUUGUGCUAAUGCUUGAGGUGCUUAAGA
RNAcentral lists this long non-coding RNA (374 nucleotides) under Struthio camelus australis. RNAcentral's name for it is "lncRNA (ENSSCUG00000017951.1)". The record is from RNAcentral. Lineage: Eukaryota; Metazoa; Chordata; Aves; Struthioniformes; Struthionidae.